RNAcentral lists this unclassified non-coding RNA (300 nucleotides) under uncultured Pleosporales. Its description in RNAcentral is "sequence contains 5.8S rRNA gene, ITS2". The stretch from base 1 to 86 matches the Rfam family "5.8S ribosomal RNA", at positions 65 to 154 of the family's 154-position model. The record is from RNAcentral. Lineage: Eukaryota; Fungi; Ascomycota; Dothideomycetes; Pleosporales.
GUGUAUAAGAGGCAGGUGAGUCAUCGAAUCUUUGAACGCACAUUGCGCCCCUUGGUAUUCCAUGGGGCAUGCCUGUUCGAGCGUCAUUUGUACCCUCAAGCUCUGCUUGGUGUUGGGUGUUUGUCCCGCCUUCGCGCGUGGACUCGCCUUAAAGUGAUUGGCAGCCGGAAUAAUUCUGGGGAACGCAGCACAACUGCAGCCUCCAUUUUACGCCGAGCGUCCAGUAAGCCUUUUUUCAACGUUUGACCUCGGAUCAGGUAGGGAUACCCGCUGAACUUAAGCAUAUCAAUAAGCGGAGGA